CAAGGCUAAAUACUUGCACGAGUCCGAUAGCGAACAAGUACCGUGAGGGAAAGUUGAAAAGUACUUUGAAGAGAGAGUAAACAGUGCGUGAAACCGCUCAGAGGUAAACGGGUGGAGUUGAACUGCAAGCUCUGAGGAUUCAGCUGGUGAGUUUGGCAUGAGCUUGGUCAUGUGGGUUGUGUGUUCGGGUCUGCUUAGCUGCAGGUCCUCGCCUUUGGUGGGGAUGCGCGUAUCGCUUAUCAAGCGUUGUGCGCCCGUUCUUCUCGGACCUGCUCGCCAGUGCACUUUCUCAGAGUGUUCACCACGACCGGCGUUGUCGUCUGGCUGGUGCGGUUAAACCGGCCUUGUAGGGUCCUUGUGGCCUUGCCUGGUCGGGAUGGCAGGUAGCCCGUUGUGUACUUCGGUGUGCUUCGGGUGUAAUAGCCGACUGCAUCGGUUCUGUGCGAUACGUCGGAGACGGCGGCUUGUUGUGCGUGCGGGCGUGCCUGUUGCGCUGGCGGCUCUGGGUCUGGUUGCCUUGUUGCUUGUAAAUGCAAGCCAGGUGAUGGCCUGGGGUCGUUUGGUGUGCGGUUGCGUUCGUGGCACUUUAAAGGGCCUACAGUCUGUGGUGUAGUGGUAGACUAUCCACCUGACCCGUCUUGAAACACGGACCAAGGAGAGUAACAUGUGCSCGAGUCAUUGGGCGUUACGAAACCCAAAGGCGAAGUGAAAGUAAAGGUU
Molecule: ribosomal RNA, 720 nt
Filed under: Echinostomatidae sp. JAM2101898
Lineage: Eukaryota; Metazoa; Platyhelminthes; Trematoda; Plagiorchiida; Echinostomatidae
Description: eukaryotic LSU rRNA
Rfam family: Eukaryotic large subunit ribosomal RNA
Source: RNAcentral